CUAAUGAUUUGGAUAGGGAGCAGAAUGCACAAUGAAGUCUGUUCCUUUUGUUGGCUUGAAAAAAAAAAAAACAGUCCAUGCAGCAGUAACUAAGGAUCCCCUGAAGGUCUUGUGCAAGAAAAUGGGGAGGGAAGACAGAGAAAAUAUUUUAUCAUUAAGUUCAGAAUAUUGCUACACUGAAGCUGAAGCAACAAGUCUGCAAUCCAGAAGCACACGCUAAAUGUGAGGUCCCCAGCUCUUCAGGGGCAACACCCUUAAGCUACUGGAAAGUGGAAGGUUACUUGGAAUACACCAGGAUGUUGUCCAAAAAUCCUUCGCGGGGGCCACAUCUUUCAUAUCAGUUUCUCACUAGGAGGCUCCUAAUAAACUUGAGAUCCUCAAUCUCCUCUGGCUACCGAAAGAAGGUGCAAUGGGGAGGAUGUCCUCUACUACAGUGUUUUCCUCAGCCUUCUGUCUUGAUUUCACUUUGCUGCACUUUGGGAAAAGUGUGACCAGCAGAAGAGACUUAAGAGUUGUCUGAAGACUUAGGAAGGCAGUUGCAUUGAUUUAUGAUGGGUACACAUUCAGACAGUUAUAAGGGCUAGAAGUGUUGGGUUUUUUUAAACAACUUUUCAAUUGUGCAGAAUGUCCUGGUCCUUAGUCAGAAGUUAUGAUACAUGGUUUCCUCCAUUCACAAGGGAAAGAACUAUACCCACCAAUGACUGGGUUUUUCAAACCCAGAAAGCAGGCAACUGCUGGUCAUGUUUCUGCCUAAUGUAACUAUUAAACAGCUAAGUUUCAAAAAAUGAAUGAGUGCGACUUCAUGAAGAAAUGCAGCACUCAGAGUUUAUAAAGGAAGUAUAUUAAAAUGUUGACAGAUCCACUAAGAACUCUAGAGUGUUAAAUAAAGCCACAUUCUGCCCUUGAAUAUAUGGCCAUUAUCCCCACCAACUUCAGUGGGAGUUCCAUGCAUGUAAUUACUGGCAGAAUGUGUCAGAGGGUCAAAAGGUGCAUAACUUUCUACUUGUAAAACUGAGGUUGAGAAUUAUGGAUCUGACUCAGUGAAUGCCUGGAACACUAAAAACACAAAACAGAGAGACAAGGGGAUGCUCAGUUUAUUUUUGAUUCAACUGAUACAAGGAAGGAUUUUUAAAAUACGUCUGUCGAUAUUUUAACUGGCAUUUUCUCUUUUUUGUAAGGAAUGGAACGUCUGCAAAACAGUGACAGACAAUACGCACUGAGCAAAGUUUGAAUUUUACUAAGAUGCUAUAACAUUUUUUCAAUGUUGGAGAGUUAAUUACAACUUGCAACAAGCACUUCGAAGAUGUGAUUUAGUACAAUGGAUAUUCACUGCCCCACUUCUUAUCUUAAGUUUCCAACCAAAAAUGUAUAUUAAAAAAAUGUAAUAAUACAA
This is a long non-coding RNA of Caretta caretta (loggerhead turtle), 1393 nucleotides long. RefSeq lists it as uncharacterized. The record is from RefSeq and is a predicted model, not a curated record. NCBI's taxonomy places the organism in Eukaryota, Metazoa, Chordata, Testudines, Cheloniidae.